GGAGAAGUACUCAAGUGGCUGAAGAGGCGGUCCUGCUAAGACUGUAGGGGGCGUUCGUCCCGCGAGGGUUCAAAUCCCUCCUUCUCCGCCA
Molecule: transfer RNA, 91 nt
Filed under: Clostridia bacterium
Lineage: Bacteria; Bacillati; Bacillota; Clostridia
Description: tRNA-Ser
Rfam family: tRNA
About the family: Transfer RNA (tRNA) molecules are approximately 80 nucleotides in length. Their secondary structure includes four short double-helical elements and three loops (D, anti-codon, and T loops). Further hydrogen bonds mediate the characteristic L-shaped molecular structure. tRNAs have two regions of fundamental functional importance: the anti-codon, which is responsible for specific mRNA codon recognition, and the 3' end, to which the tRNAs corresponding amino acid is attached (by aminoacyl-tRNA synthetases). tRNAs cope with the degeneracy of the genetic code in two manners: having more than one tRNA (with a specific anti-codon) for a particular amino acid; and 'wobble' base-pairing, i.e. permitting non-standard base-pairing at the 3rd anti-codon position.
Source: RNAcentral